UACGUAGGGUGCAAGCGUUAAUCGGAAUUACUGGGCGUAAAGGGCUCGUAGGCGGCCAACUAAGUCGGAUGUGAAAUCCCCAGGCUCAACCUGGGAACUGCAUCCGAUACUGGAUGGCUUGAAUUCGGGAGAGGGAUGCAGAAUUCCAGGUGUAGCGGUGAAAUGCGUAGAUAUCUGGAGGAAUACCGGUGGCGAAGGCGGCAUCCUGGACCGACAUUGACGCUGAUGAGCGAAAGCUAGGGGAGCAAACGGG
RNAcentral lists this ribosomal RNA (253 nucleotides) under uncultured bacterium. Its description in RNAcentral is "partial 16S ribosomal RNA". It matches the Rfam family "Bacterial small subunit ribosomal RNA", at positions 524 to 776 of the family's 1533-position model. The record is from RNAcentral.